GAGAUGGAUUGGUGCCUUCGGGAACGUCUGACACAGGUGCUGCAUGGCUGUCGUCAGCUCGUGUCGUGAGAUGUUGGGUUAAGUCCGUAACGAGCGCAACCCUUGUCCUUAGUUACCAGCACGUUAUGGUGGGCACUCUAAGGAGACUGCCGGUGGACAAACCGGAGGAAGGUGGGGGAUGACGUCAAGUCAUCAUGGCCCUUACGGCCUGGGCUACACACGUGCUACAAUGGUCGGUACAAAGGGUUGCCAAGCCGCGAGGUGGAGCUAAUCCCAUAAAACCGAUCGUAGUCCGGAUCGCAGUCUGCAACUCGACUGCGUGAAGUCGGAAUCGCUAGUAAUCGUGAAUCAGAAUGUCACGGUGAAUACGUUCCCGGGCCUU
Molecule: ribosomal RNA, 382 nt
Filed under: uncultured Pseudomonas sp.
Lineage: Bacteria; Pseudomonadati; Pseudomonadota; Gammaproteobacteria; Pseudomonadales; Pseudomonadaceae
Description: bacterial SSU rRNA
Rfam family: Bacterial small subunit ribosomal RNA
Source: RNAcentral